UGAACGCUGGCGGCGUGCCUAAUACAUGCAAGUCGAGCGAACGGACGAGAAGCUUGCUUCUCUGAUGUUAGCGGCGGACGGGUGAGUAACACGUGGAUAACCUACCUAUAAGACUGGGAUAACUUCGGGAAACCGGAGCUAAUACCGGAUAAUAUUUUGAACCGCAUGGUUCAAAAGUGAAAGACGGUCUUGCUGUCACUUAUAGAUGGAUCCGCGCUGCAUUAGCUAGUUGGUAAGGUAACGGCUUACCAAGGCAACGAUGCAUAGCCGACCUGAGAGGGUGAUCGGCCACACUGGAACUGAGACACGGUCCAGACUCCUACGGGAGGCAGCAGUAGGGAAUCUUCCGCAAUGGGCGAAAGCCUGACGGAGCAACGCCGCGUGAGUGAUGAAGGUCUUCGGAUCGUAAAACUCUGUUAUUAGGGAAGAACAUAUGUGUAAGUAACUGUGCACAUCUUGACGGUACCUAAUCAGAAAGCCACGGCUAACUACGUGCCAGCAGCCGCGGUAAUACGUAGGUGGCAAGCGUUAUCCGGAAUUAUUGGGCGUAAAGCGCGCGUAGGCGGUUUUUUAAGUCUGAUGUGAAAGCCCACGGCUCAACCGUGGAGGGUCAUUGGAAACUGGAAAACUUGAGUGCAGAAGAGGAAAGUGGAAUUCCAUGUGUAGCGGUGAAAUGCGCAGAGAUAUGGAGGAACACCAGUGGCGAAGGCGACUUUCUGGUCUGUAACUGACGCUGAUGUGCGAAAGCGUGGGGAUCAAACAGGAUUAGAUACCCUGGUAGUCCACGCCGUAAACGAUGAGUGCUAAGUGUUAGGGGGUUUCCGCCCCUUAGUGCUGCAGCUAACGCAUUAAGCACUCCGCCUGGGGAGUACGACCGCAAGGUUGAAACUCAAAGGAAUUGACGGGGACCCGCACAAGCGGUGGAGCAUGUGGUUUAAUUCGAAGCAACGCGAAGAACCUUACCAAAUCUUGACAUCCUUUGACAACUCUAGAGAUAGAGCCUUCCCCUUCGGGGGGCAAAGUGACAGGUGGUGCAUGGUUGUCGUCAGCUCGUGUCGUGAGAUGUUGGGUUAAGUCCCGCAACGAGCGCAACCCUUAAGCUUAGUUGCCAUCAUUAAGUUGGGCACUCUAAGUUGACUGCCGGUGACAAACCGGAGGAAGGUGGGGAUGACGUCAAAUCAUCAUGCCCCUUAUGAUUUGGGCUACACACGUGCUACAAUGGACAAUACAAAGGGCAGCGAAACCGCGAGGUCAAGCAAAUCCCAUAAAGUUGUUCUCAGUUCGGAUUGUAGUCUGCAACUCGACUACAUGAAGCUGGAAUCGCUAGUAAUCGUAGAUCAGCAUGCUACGGUGAAUACGUUCCCGGGUCU
Molecule: ribosomal RNA, 1370 nt
Filed under: uncultured bacterium
Lineage: Bacteria
Description: 16S ribosomal RNA
Rfam family: Bacterial small subunit ribosomal RNA
Source: RNAcentral